RNAcentral lists this long non-coding RNA (1762 nucleotides) under Olea europaea subsp. europaea. Lineage: Eukaryota; Viridiplantae; Streptophyta; Magnoliopsida; Lamiales; Oleaceae. The record is from RNAcentral.
UCCGUUACUGGAGCAAGCAAAAACAACAAUUGAACUAUCAGGUGGAAAAUUUUGAUCAACAAUGUUAGAAACACGGGUAUAUAUUUCUUUCAAAACAAGUACCUAACAACAUCAGUAUUCUCAGCCUCAGAAUGUUACAUUCACAGAUAGCCAAUUUGAAAUUAUGAUAUCUUUCCUAUUCCUGUCAUGUGGCACUGCCGUCAAAUCCAUUAAAUUGUUGCAUGUUAUGAGUUCCUUCUCUCCAUAUUUAGUCUUUUGCUCGUCUGGAGUGGCAUCUUCACACGAUCAAAACUCGGAAAUUAGCUGGUUCAAAGUUUGUGCAACUUUCAGCAUAAGAUAAUUCUGCCACAUACAUUCUUAUCCCAAUAUAUCAGAACAUAAACUACAAGACUGCUAGCUCUCCAAAUGGAUUGCAUGUUCUGAGUUCCUUCUCCAUAUUUAGUCUUUUUCUCAUCUGAAGUGGCAUCUUCACACGAUCAAAACUCAGAAAUUAGCCGGUUCAAAGUUUGUGCAACUUUCAGCAUAAGAUAAUUCUGCCACGCGCAUUCGUAUCCUAAUAUAUCAGAACAUAAACUAAAAGACUGCUCGCUCUCCAAACAAAAGCAAAUGCCAUCUCAACCAGUGGGACAGCCUGCCAUUUAACUUCACAUAGUCAGCACUUUGAAUCCACUCCAAAAAGUAGCUAAAGUUCUUCAUUUUGCAAAUUCAACAUUAACCUUUGACUUAUUUUAGGCCCCAGACAUAAACAACGUAAUGAAGCACCAGCCAUGAUGGGGUCAGCAACGGACAUCAUUUAUUUCAGAUCCCAUAUUUACUUUUUCCAUAACCAGGGCAAGUAAACAGCUUGUAUAAUUGCUGCUGAAAUUUGAAUUUAAUUUUUUAAUUUCUUUCCAUGAUUAAGAAAUUAGAAACAAUCAGCAAAGACAGAGGAUAAAAGUUGAAAACAAAUAUUAAGUUAAUGCUUCAAAAGGUACAGAGUUGAUUGGCAGUUAAUAACAUUACAAGUUUUGUACUAAAUUGUUGCGAGUGAAAAACUGUGUUUUUAAGAAAAAUAAUUCAUAGUAUAACUAAAACAAGAAAUAAUAUGCAUAGAAAAAAAGUCACACACAGCAACUUUGAGGACAAAUUUAGCAUUCAAAAAACCAAUUAACAGAGAAAAAGAUCUGUGGGACAGCAAGGUCGAAAUAAGAACACGAAGUAUAAUUUGAAUAUCAGAAAUUUUGGCAUUAUCAUCAAUUUUGCAAAAGGAAAUUACAAGUGGACAGUGUGUUUCUUAGUAAAUAUCAAGGAUACAAUAUAUGUAAAAGAAUGACUUUGCUUUAUGAAGAAGAACACAUAUAUGACAAACAAAUAGAUCAGGAAACAAGUAAGAGGUUCUCCGAAUUACAAAUCUCAAACAUCCGAAGUAUGAGGAUAAUAAUUCAAUAAAAACUCAGAAUUGCCAUUGAUGCUAUUGUAUCAAUUAGGAGAAAUCGAAAAGGAUAACUGCAUCUCAGUAAGUUAGAAAGUAAUAUUAAGAUCCUUGCUGGGAAUCUCUGAUAGGUAAUACAAUAUCAUUGAUCCAAUCAAAUUAACACAAAAUCAAAGCAUAAAAUACUGGAUAAAGGAACAUCAUAUUAACAACAUUCCCAUAAUAAUUAGUUCAAAAACGAAUGGGGGAGGACGAACACUGAAGAUAUAAUCAUAAAGAAGCUGCCUAAUAAAAGGAGAUGAUGAUUUUCUGAAAGUGGGAAAGAGUUCAAAAGGGGGAGGGCGCUAAAGC